UACGGGGGGGGCAAGCGUUGUUCGGAAUUACUGGGCGUAAAGGGUUCGUAGGUGGCCAACUAAGUCAGACGUGAAAUCCCUCAGCUCAACUGGGGAACUGCGUCUGAUACUGGAUGGCUUGAGUGCAGGAGAGGAACGCGGAAUUCCAGGUGUAGCGGUGAAAUGCGUAGAUAUCUGGAGGAACACCGGUGGCGAAGGCGGCGUUCUGGACUGCAACUGACACUGAGGAACGAAAGCCAGGGGAGCAAACGGG
This 253-nucleotide ribosomal RNA is filed under the name uncultured bacterium. RNAcentral describes it as "partial 16S ribosomal RNA". It matches the Rfam family "Bacterial small subunit ribosomal RNA", at positions 524 to 776 of the family's 1533-position model. The record is from RNAcentral.